Molecule: ribosomal RNA, 468 nt
Filed under: uncultured bacterium
Lineage: Bacteria
Description: partial 16S ribosomal RNA
Rfam family: Bacterial small subunit ribosomal RNA
Source: RNAcentral
GACGAACGCUGGCGGCGUGCUUAACACAUGCAAGUCGAACGGAAAGGCCCUGCUUUUGUGGGGUGCUCGCGUGGCGAACGGGUGAGUAACACGUGAGUAACCUGCCCUUGACUUUGGGAUAACUUCAGGAAACUGGGGCUAAUACAGGAUAGGAGCUCCUGCUGCAUGGUGGGGGUUGGAAAGUUUCGGCGGUUGGGGAUGGACUCGCGGCUUAUCAGCUUGUUGGUGGGGUAGUGGCUUACCAAGGCUUUGACGGGUAGCCGGCCUGAGAGGGUGACCGGCCACAUUGGGACUGAGAUACGGCCCAGACUCCUACGGGAGGCAGCAGUGGGGAAUAUUGCACAAUGGGCGGAAGCCUGAUGCAGCAACGCCGCGUGCGGGAUGACGGCCUUCGGGUUGUAAACCGCUUUCGCCUGUGACGAAGCGUGAGUGACGGUAAUGGGUAAAGAAGCACCGGCUAACUACGUG